Molecule: ribosomal RNA, 426 nt
Filed under: uncultured bacterium
Lineage: Bacteria
Description: bacterial SSU rRNA
Rfam family: Bacterial small subunit ribosomal RNA
Source: RNAcentral
GGGGAAUCUUGCGCAAUGGGCGAAAGCCUGACGCAGCAACGCCGCGUGGACGACGAAGGCCUUCGGGUUGUAAAGUCCUGUCGGAGGGGAAGAAUGGUAAGAUGGCUAACAUCCAUUUUAUUUGACGGUACCCUCAAAGGAAGCACUGGCUAACCUCGUGCCAGCAGCCGCGGUAAUACGAGGAGUGCAAGCGUUGUUCGGAAUUACUGGGCGUAAAGCGGGUGUAGGCGGUCUGUUAUGUCAGGUGUGAAAGCCCAUGGUUCAACUGUGGAACUGCGCUUGAAACUGACAGACUUGAGUAGCGUAGAGGAGGGCGGAAUUCCUAGUGUAGAGGUGAAAUUCGUAGAUAUUAGGAGGAACACCGGCGGCGAAGGCGGCUCUCUAAACGCAUACUGACGCUAAGACCCGAAAGCGUGGGGAUCAAAC